CCUACGGGAGGCAGCAGUGGGGAAUUUUGGACAAUGGGCGAAAGCCUGAUCCAGCAAUGCCGCGUGAGUGAAGAAGGCCUUCGGGUUGUAAAGCUCUUUUGUCAGGGAAGAAACGGUGAGGGCUAAUAUCCCUUGCUAAUGACGGUACCUGAAGAAUAAGCACCGGCUAACUACGUGCCAGCAGCCGCGGUAAUACGUAGGGUGCAAGCGUUAAUCGGAAUUACUGGGCGUAAAGCGUGCGCAGGCGGUUUUGUAAGUCUGUCGUGAAAUCCCCGGGCUCAACCUGGGAAUUGCGAUGGAGACUGCAAGGCUAGAAUCUGGCAGAGGGGGGUAGAAUUCCACGUGUAGCAGUGAAAUGCGUAGAGAUGUGGAGGAACACCGAUGGCGAAGGCAGCCCCCUGGGUCAAGAUUGACGCUCAUGCACGAAAGCGUGGGGAGCAAACAGGAUUAGAUACCCUGGUAGUCCACGCCCUAAACGAUGUCUACUAGUUGUCGGGUUUUAAUUAACUUGGUAACGCAGCUAACGCGUGAAGUAGACCGCCUGGGGGAGGUACGGUCGCGAAGUAGUAAACUUACGAAGUAAGUUAGAGNGNGNGNGNGCGAGACGACGACGAGGGAGAGG
This 622-nucleotide ribosomal RNA is filed under the name uncultured bacterium. RNAcentral's name for it is "bacterial SSU rRNA". The stretch from base 1 to 542 matches the Rfam family "Bacterial small subunit ribosomal RNA", at positions 338 to 873 of the family's 1533-position model. The record is from RNAcentral.